Molecule: non-coding RNA, 82 nt
Filed under: pig gut metagenome
Also listed under: 1 other name
Description: NiCo riboswitch
Rfam family: NiCo (Nickel/Cobalt) riboswitch aptamer
Source: RNAcentral
ACAGUACAAACUGAGCAGGCCGGGUAUUAUACCUGUGAAGCCGGGUCGACUAAGCGACAGUAGAUGACAUCUACGGGACAGU